GGGGGAGCAGGGCGGGGUGCCUACUCAUGCAUUCAAGGASRGSGGCUUCGRCCGGGAGCAUUUGCGCGCAGGAUGAWKAAYGUAUAGGUCUCUGCCCUUUGGACUGGGAUMACCCCGAGAAAUCGGGGACAAUACCAGAUGAUGCAGCGGAACCGCAUGGUUAUGUUGUUAAAGAUUUAUCGCCGAAGGAUGAACCUAUAUCCCAUCAGGUAGUUGGUAAGGUAACGGCUUACCAAGCCUACGACGGGUAGCUGGUCUGAGAGGAUGAUCAGCCACAUUGGAACUGAGACACGGUCCAGACUCCUACGGGAGGCAGCAGUGAGGAAUAUUGCGCAACGGGCGAAAGCCUGACGCAGCAACGCCGCGUGGAUGAUGAAGUUCUUCGGAAUGUAAAGUCCUUUUGUAGAGGAAGAAUAUCUUGGUUUACCAGGACUGACGGUACUCUACGAAUAAGCCACGGCUAAC
This 465-nucleotide ribosomal RNA is filed under the name uncultured bacterium. RNAcentral's name for it is "bacterial SSU rRNA". It matches the Rfam family "Bacterial small subunit ribosomal RNA", at positions 38 to 501 of the family's 1533-position model. The record is from RNAcentral.